CCUACGAGAGGCAGCAGUGAGGAAUAUUGGUCAAUGGUCGGGAGACUGAACCAGCCAAGCCGCGUGAGGGAUGAAGGUACAGAGUAUCGUAAACCUCUUUUGUCAGGGAACAAAGGCGGGGACGCGUCCCCGGAUGAGUGUACCUGAAGAAAAAGCAUCGGCUAACCCCGUGCCAGCAGCCGCGGUAAUACGGGGGAUGCGACUGUUAUCCGGUUUUAUGGGGUUUAAAGGGUGGGCAGGCGGUCUGUUAAGUAAGCGGUCAAAGACCGGGGAUCAACCCCGGCGCGCCGUUGAAACUGGCAGUCGCGAGUUGGAGAGAGGUAUGCGGAAUGCGCGGUGUAGCGGUGAAAUGCAUAGAUAUCGCGCAGAACUCCGAUUGCGAAGGCAGCAUGCUGGCUCCACACUGACGCUGAGGCACGAAAGCGUGGGUAUCGAACAGGAUUAGAUACCCUUGUAGUC
This 459-nucleotide ribosomal RNA is filed under the name uncultured bacterium. RNAcentral describes it as "partial 16S ribosomal RNA". It matches the Rfam family "Bacterial small subunit ribosomal RNA", at positions 338 to 795 of the family's 1533-position model. The record is from RNAcentral.